RNAcentral lists this ribosomal RNA (497 nucleotides) under uncultured bacterium. RNAcentral describes it as "partial 16S ribosomal RNA". It matches the Rfam family "Bacterial small subunit ribosomal RNA", at positions 28 to 507 of the family's 1533-position model. The record is from RNAcentral.
GAUGAACGCUGGCGGCGUGCCUAAUACAUGCAAGUCGAGCGAACGGACGAGAAGCUUGCUUCUCUGAUGUUAGCGGCGGACGGGUGAGUAACACGUGGAUAACCUACCUAUAAGACUGGGAUAACUUCGGGAAACCGGAGCUAAUACCGGUUAAUAUUUUGAACCGCAUGGUUCAAAAGUGAAAGACGGUCUUGCUGUCACUUAUAAAUGGAUCCGCGCUGCAUUAGCUAGUUGGUAAGGUAACGGCUUACCAAGGCAACGAUGCAUAGCCGACCUGAGAGGGUGAUCGGCCACACUGGAACUGAGACGCGGUCCAGACUCCUACGGGAGGCAGCAGUAGGGAAUCUUCCGCAAUGGGCGAAAGCCUGACGGAGCAACGCCGCGUGAGUGAUGAAGGUCUUCGGAUCGUAAAACUCUGUUAUUAGGGAAGAACAUAUGUGUAAGUAACUGUGCACAUCUUGACGGUACCUAAUCAGAAAGCCACGGCUAACUACGUG